Molecule: non-coding RNA, 147 nt
Filed under: Acetobacter tropicalis
Lineage: Bacteria; Pseudomonadati; Pseudomonadota; Alphaproteobacteria; Acetobacterales; Acetobacteraceae
Source: RNAcentral
UGACACUCCCCUCUGCGCCGUUCACCAUAGGGUAUUGGUUUUGGGGAAGCCGGUGAGACUCCGGCACGGUCGCGCCACUGUAACCCGUUUGGUCAGCCUCAGGCUGAUCAGGCUGGAAGUCAGACCUCCGAAACAGUCUGUUUUCCA